UUAGCUCAUUAGCAGACUUCUUUCUUCAAAAUAUUUUAUCUGACUAUAAUGCAAAUAUAAUAUCUCUAAACUAUAAUGCAGUUGGUACCUUGUCAAAUAAGGUUUCAAAUUUUUUAUUUCAUAUUCCUAAGACCUAAGGGCUCUUUUUCUUUGUGGCUCGAGAUUUCAAGCUUUCCUGCUCAUCUAUGGUGUGCUCUAUAGCUGAUUUUUGUCUCGUAAAUAUUUCUCAUAUUUAAAAAGCUUCAAGUGAAGGUUGAACCACCUUUUCAUUUUGUGUUGUUGGCAGUUAUUUUAUUUUACAAAACAUUUAUAUUGCAGGUCUUCAAGUUCUGUUUGUUUGGUACUACGGUAUUUGAACUUAGGCAAGGAGCUGCUGUAUCUUUUUUAUUUGAGGCCAACAAACUGCGUUACGCGAAGUCUCCUGUAAAGCUGUGAAGGCAACUAUUCAAUACGCUCACCAUUGUUUGGAACUAGUGUACAUAGCCUGAACUUAUUGGCCUUAUGAUUUACUCCUCAUGUUUCAUUAUCUCACCUGAUGACAAGCUCAAAAUUGCAAAUGGUUCAUCGCAAUUCCGGAAAUCAUUCUGAUGACAGCAUUUUGGAUUUGAACAGUCCCAACUCUCCUUCUCACAGCUCAAGUCUCUCUGGCUCUUCAAAUUCAUUGGCUAACACAUCCGCUCCUGCCUUCAAUCACGAUGACAUUUCUGUUAUCGGUCCUGCUUCAUCCUCGGCUCGCGAAAGAUCAAACCUCCGAGGACGACGUUUGAGUUCAGUUUCUGCCAAAAGAGGUUCGAGAAGCGUUGGCCGGAAAAGAGUCGAUUCUUUGGAAGGCCCUAUCCUUUAGCAUUGGCAUAUUUAUCGUCUGCACGUUAAGACGCCGUCUCAAAAACCUUGUUGACACAAACUUCACGUCAAUUCAUGAAUAGUUAGAUAUUCAUACUAUUUAUUUUUUAUUACA
Long non-coding RNA from Daphnia magna, 958 nucleotides. RefSeq lists it as uncharacterized. The transcript is spliced from 3 exons. The record is from RefSeq and is a predicted model, not a curated record. Lineage: Eukaryota; Metazoa; Arthropoda; Branchiopoda; Diplostraca; Daphniidae.